GAUGAACGCUGGCGGCGUGCUUAACACAUGCCAGUCGAACGGAAAGGCCCAAACUUGCUUGGGUACUCGAGUGGCGAACGGGUGAGUAACACGUGGGGGAUCUGCCCUUCACUUCGUGAUAAGCCUGGGGAACUGGGUCUAAUACCGGGUAGGACCACAUGUUGGGUGUGGUGGUGGAGAGAUUUGCGGUGUUGGUUGAGCUCGCGGCCUAUAAGCUUGUUGGUGGGGUAAUGGACUACCAAGGCGUCGACGGGUAGCCGGCAUGAGAGGGUGUACGGCCACAGUGGGACUGAGAGACGGCCCAGACGCCGAAGGGAGGCAGAAGGGGGGAAUAUUGCACAAGGGGCGCAAGCCGGAUGCAGCGAGGCCGCGGGGGGGAGGACGGCCUUCGGGUUGGAAAAUCAUUUCGCUAGGGACGAAGCGUUAUGUGACGGUACCUGGAGAAGAAGCACCGGCUAACUACGUG
Molecule: ribosomal RNA, 466 nt
Filed under: uncultured bacterium
Lineage: Bacteria
Description: partial 16S ribosomal RNA
Rfam family: Bacterial small subunit ribosomal RNA
Source: RNAcentral